GGGAAACUGAGGAUAAUACCCCAUAGGUCUAGGAUGCUGGAAUGCACUUAGGCUCAAAGUUACGGCGCUUCAGGAUGGGUCUGCGGCCUAUCAGGUUGUAGUGAGUGUAAAGUACUCACUAGCCGACGACGGGUACGGGCCAUGGGAGUGGUAGCCCGGAGAUGGAUUCUGAGACACGAAUCCAGGCCCUACGGGGCGCAGCAGGCGCGAAAACUUCGCAAUGCGCGCAAGCGCGACGAGGGGAUUCCAAGUGCAUGCACUUAGUGCAUGCUGUUUGCUAGUCUAAAAAGCUAGUAGAGUAAGGGCUGGGUAAGACUGGUGCCAGCCGCCGCGGUAAUACCAGCGGCCCGAGUGGUGAUCGUUAUUAUUGGGCCUAAAGCGUCCGUAGCCGGCCCGGUAAAUCUCUGGGUAAAUCGUUGGGCUCAACCCAACGAAUUCUGGGGAGACUGCCGGGCUUUGGACCGGGAGAGGUCGGAGGUCCUCCAGGGGUAGGGGUGAAAUCCUGUAAUCCCUUGGGGGGACCACCGGUGGCGAAGGCGUCCCGACCAGAACGGGUCCGACGGUAAGGGACGAAGCCCUGGGGCGCGAACGGGAUUAGAUACCCCGGUAGUCCAGGGUGUAAACGCUGUGCGCUUGGUGUUGGGGGUCCUCCGUGGGCACCCAGUGCCGGAGAGAAGUUGUUAAACGCACCGCCUGGGGAGUACGGUCGCAAGACUGAAACUUAA
This 725-nucleotide ribosomal RNA is filed under the name uncultured archaeon. RNAcentral describes it as "bacterial SSU rRNA". It matches the Rfam family "Archaeal small subunit ribosomal RNA", at positions 134 to 859 of the family's 1478-position model. The record is from RNAcentral.